GUCAGGAUGGCCGAGUGGUCUAAGGCGCCAGACUCAAGCACUUUCCUUCCCUUCUUCGGGGUUUCUGGUCUCCUGAUGGAGGCGUGGGUUCGAAUCCCACUUCUGACA
RNAcentral lists this transfer RNA (108 nucleotides) under Otolemur garnettii (small-eared galago). It matches the Rfam family "tRNA". From Rfam's summary of the family: Transfer RNA (tRNA) molecules are approximately 80 nucleotides in length. Their secondary structure includes four short double-helical elements and three loops (D, anti-codon, and T loops). The record is from Rfam by way of RNAcentral. Lineage: Eukaryota; Metazoa; Chordata; Mammalia; Primates; Galagidae.